GUCUUUUUGAUUAAUAAUUUAAAGUCUAAUCUGCCCACUGAUAUAAUAUUAAAGGGCUGCAGUAUUUUGACUGUACAAAGGUAGCAUAAUCAUUAGUCUCUUAAUUGGUGACUUGUAUGAAAGAUUUGAUGAAAUAUAUACUGUCUCUAUUUAAUUAGUAAAAUUUAAUUUUUUAGUUAAAAAGCUAAAAUAUAUUUAAAAGACGAGAAGACCCUAUAGAGUUUUAUAUUUAAUUAAAUUAAAAUUUUUUAUAAGAUUUAAAAUUUUGAUGUGUUUAAAUAUUAUGUUGGGGUGACAAAAAAAUUUAAAUAACUUUUUUUAUAGGUUAACAUUUAUUAAUGAAUAUAUGAUCCGUAAUUUACGAUUAUAAGAAAAAAUUACCUUAGGGAUAACAGCGUAAUUUUUUUUUUUAGUUCAAAUAAGAAUUAAAGUUUGCGACCUCGAUGUUGGAUUAAGAUAAAAUUUAAAUGCAAAAGUUUAAAAUUUUUGAUCUGUUCGAUCAUUAAAAUCUUACA
RNAcentral lists this ribosomal RNA (515 nucleotides) under Parnassius maharaja labeyriei. RNAcentral describes it as "partial 16S rRNA". The stretch from base 388 to 515 matches the Rfam family "Bacterial large subunit ribosomal RNA", at positions 2473 to 2600 of the family's 2925-position model. The record is from RNAcentral. Lineage: Eukaryota; Metazoa; Arthropoda; Insecta; Lepidoptera; Papilionidae.